RNAcentral lists this ribosomal RNA (433 nucleotides) under uncultured bacterium. Its description in RNAcentral is "partial 16S ribosomal RNA". It matches the Rfam family "Bacterial small subunit ribosomal RNA", at positions 29 to 507 of the family's 1533-position model. The record is from RNAcentral.
AGCGAACGCUGGCGGCAGGCCUAACACAUGCAAGUCGAACGAACUCUUCGGAGUUAGUGGCGGACGGGUGAGUAACACGUGGGAACGUGCCUUUUGGUUCGGAAUAACUCAGGGAAACUUGUGCUAAUACCGAAUGUGCCCUUCGGGGGUAAGAUUUAUCGCCAUUUGAGCGGCCCGCGUCUGAUUAGCUAGUUGGUGAGGUAACGGCUCACCAAGGCCACGAUCAGUAGCUGGUCUGUGAGGAUGACCAGUCACACUGGGACUGAGACACGGCCCAGACUCCUACGGGAGGCAGCAGUGGGGAAUCUAGCGGAAUGGGCGAAAGCGUGACGCAGCCAUGCCGCGUGAAUGAGGAAGGUCUUAGGAUUGUAAAAUUCUUUCACCGGGGACGAUAAUGACGGUACCGGGAGAAGAAGCCCCGGCUAACUACGUG